AGCAGCCGCGGUAAUUCCAGCUCCAAUAGCGUAUAUUAAAGUUGUUGCAGUUAAAAAGCUCGUAGUUGAAUUUCGGGGUCAGUAGGCUGGUCGUGCCACAGGUAUGUACUGGUCUCACUGAUUCCUCCUUCCUGAUGAACCGUAAUGCCAUUAAUUUGGUGUUGCGGGGAAUCUGGACUGUUACUUUGAAAAAAUUAGAGUGUUUAAAGCAGGCUAACGCUUGAAUACAUUAGCAUGGAAUAAUGAAAUAGGACGAUCGAUCCUAUUUUGUUGGUUUCUAGGAUUGACGUAAUGAUUAAUAGGGAUAGUUGGGGGCAUUAGUAUUCAAUUGUCAGAGGUGAAAUUCUUGGAUUUAUUGAAGACUAACUACUGCGAAAGCAUUUGCCAAGGAUGUUUUCAUUAAUCAAGAACGAAAGUUAGGGGAUCGAAGACGAUCAGAUACCGUCGUAGUCUUAACCAUAAACUAUGCCGACUAGGGAUCGGAUGAUGUUAAUUUUUUAAUGACUCAUUCGGCG
RNAcentral lists this ribosomal RNA (515 nucleotides) under uncultured Glomus. RNAcentral describes it as "SSU rRNA". It matches the Rfam family "Eukaryotic small subunit ribosomal RNA", at positions 569 to 1085 of the family's 1831-position model. Lineage: Eukaryota; Fungi; Glomeromycota; Glomeromycetes; Glomerales; Glomeraceae. The record is from RNAcentral.